CUCUCAACUUCUGUGCACUCUUCAUAGGCCGGCUUGUGGGUGCGUUCGCGCACUUGUAGGUGUCGGGCUUAUGCUUUACUACAAACGAUUCAGUUUUAGAAUGUCAUACUUUGCUAUAACGCAAUUUAUAUACAACUUUCAGCAACGGAUCUCUUGGCUCUCGCAUCGAUGAAGAACGCAGCGAAAUGCGAUAAGUAAUGUGAAUUGCAGAAUUCAGUGAAUCAUCGAAUCUUUGAACGCACCUUGCGCUCCUUGGUAUUCCGAGGAGCAUGCCUGUUUGAGUCUCAUGGAAUUCUCAACCUUCGGCUUUAUUGACGAAGGCUUGGACUUGGAGGUCGUGCCGGCUCUCGUAGUCGGCUCCUCUGAAAUGCAUUAGUGCGAACGUUACCAGCCGCUUCAGCGUGAUAAUUAUCUGCGCUGCUGUGGAGGGUAUUCUAGUGUUCGCGCUUCGAACCGUCUUCGGACAAAUUUCUGAACUCUGAGCUCAAAUCAGGUAGGACUACCCGCUGAACUUAAGCAUAUCAAUAA
RNAcentral lists this ribosomal RNA (528 nucleotides) under Thanatephorus cucumeris. RNAcentral describes it as "eukaryotic LSU rRNA". The stretch from base 134 to 287 matches the Rfam family "5.8S ribosomal RNA". The record is from RNAcentral. Lineage: Eukaryota; Fungi; Basidiomycota; Agaricomycetes; Cantharellales; Ceratobasidiaceae.